This 1298-nucleotide ribosomal RNA is filed under the name Staphylococcus aureus. RNAcentral's name for it is "bacterial SSU rRNA". It matches the Rfam family "Bacterial small subunit ribosomal RNA", at positions 245 to 1533 of the family's 1533-position model. The record is from RNAcentral. Lineage: Bacteria; Bacillati; Bacillota; Bacilli; Caryophanales; Staphylococcaceae.
CUAGUUGGUAAGGUAACGGCUUACCAAGGCAACGAUGCAUAGCCGACCUGAGAGGGUGAUCGGCCACACUGGAACUGAGACACGGUCCAGACUCCUACGGGAGGCAGCAGUAGGGAAUCUUCCGCAAUGGGCGAAAGCCUGACGGAGCAACGCCGCGUGAGUGAUGAAGGUCUUCGGAUCGUAAAACUCUGUUAUUAGGGAAGAACAUAUGUGUAAGUAACUGUGCACAUCUUGACGGUACCUAAUCAGAAAGCCACGGCUAACUACGUGCCAGCAGCCGCGGUAAUACGUAGGUGGCAAGCGUUAUCCGGAAUUAUUGGGCGUAAAGCGCGCGUAGGCGGUUUUUUAAGUCUGAUGUGAAAGCCCACGGCUCAACCGUGGAGGGUCAUUGGAAACUGGAAAACUUGAGUGCAGAAGAGGAAAGUGGAAUUCCAUGUGUAGCGGUGAAAUGCGCAGAGAUAUGGAGGAACACCAGUGGCGAAGGCGACUUUCUGGUCUGUAACUGACGCUGAUGUGCGAAAGCGUGGGGAUCAAACAGGAUUAGAUACCCUGGUAGUCCACGCCGUAAACGAUGAGUGCUAAGUGUUAGGGGGUUUCCGCCCCUUAGUGCUGCAGCUAACGCAUUAAGCACUCCGCCUGGGGAGUACGACCGCAAGGUUGAAACUCAAAGGAAUUGACGGGGACCCGCACAAGCGGUGGAGCAUGUGGUUUAAUUCGAAGCAACGCGAAGAACCUUACCAAAUCUUGACAUCCUUUGACAACUCUAGAGAUAGAGCCUUCCCCUUCGGGGGACAAAGUGACAGGUGGUGCAUGGUUGUCGUCAGCUCGUGUCGUGAGAUGUUGGGUUAAGUCCCGCAACGAGCGCAACCCUUAAGCUUAGUUGCCAUCAUUAAGUUGGGCACUCUAAGUUGACUGCCGGUGACAAACCGGAGGAAGGUGGGGAUGACGUCAAAUCAUCAUGCCCCUUAUGAUUUGGGCUACACACGUGCUACAAUGGACAAUACAAAGGGCAGCGAAACCGCGAGGUCAAGCAAAUCCCAUAAAGUUGUUCUCAGUUCGGAUUGUAGUCUGCAACUCGACUACAUGAAGCUGGAAUCGCUAGUAAUCGUAGAUCAUCAUGCUACGGUGAAUACGUUCCCGGGUCUUGUACACACCGCCCGUCACACCACGAGAGUUUGUAACACCCGAAGCCGGUGGAGUAACCUUUUAGGAGCUAGCCGUCGAAGGUGGGACAAAUGAUUGGGGUGAAGUCGUAACAAGGUAGCCGUAUCGGAAGGUGCGGCUGGAUCACCUCCUUU